This 252-nucleotide ribosomal RNA is filed under the name uncultured bacterium. Its description in RNAcentral is "partial 16S ribosomal RNA". It matches the Rfam family "Bacterial small subunit ribosomal RNA", at positions 524 to 775 of the family's 1533-position model. The record is from RNAcentral.
UACGUAGGUGGCAAGCGUUGUCCGGAAUUAUUGGGCGUAAAGCGCGCGCAGGCGGUCCUUUAAGUCUGAUGUGAAAGCCCACGGCUCAACCGUGGAGGGUCAUUGGAAACUGGGGGACUUGAGUGCAGGAGAGAAGAGUGGAAUUCCACGUGUAGCGGUGAAAUGCGUAGAUAUCUGCAGGAACACCCGUGGCGAAAGCGGCGCGCUGGACCACUACUGACGCUGAGGAACGAAAGCUAGGGGAGCAAACAG